Molecule: ribosomal RNA, 433 nt
Filed under: uncultured bacterium
Lineage: Bacteria
Description: partial 16S ribosomal RNA
Rfam family: Bacterial small subunit ribosomal RNA
Source: RNAcentral
AACGAACGCUGGCGGCAUGCCUAACACAUGCAAGUCGAACGAGACCUUCGGGUCUAGUGGCGCACGGGUGCGUAACGCGUGGGAACCUGCCCUUAGGUUCGGAAUAACUCCCCGAAAGGGGUGCUAAUACCGGAUAAUGUCUUCGGACCAAAGAUUUAUCGCCUUUGGAUGGGCCCGCGUUGGAUUAGCUAGUUGGUAGGGUAAAAGCCUACCAAGGCGACGAUCCAUAGCUGGUCUGAGAGGAUGAUCAGCCACACUGGGACUGAGACACGGCCCAGACUCCUACGGGAGGCAGGAGUGGGGAAUUAUUGAACAUGGGCCAAAGCCUGAACCAGCCAUGGCGGGUGAGUUAUGAAAGCCUUAGGGUUGUAAAGCUCUUUUACCCGGGAUGAUAAUGACAGUACCGGGAGAAUAAGCUCCGGCUAACUCCGUG